Molecule: ribosomal RNA, 468 nt
Filed under: uncultured bacterium
Lineage: Bacteria
Description: partial 16S ribosomal RNA
Rfam family: Bacterial small subunit ribosomal RNA
Source: RNAcentral
GACGAACGCUGGCGGCGUGCUUAACACAUGCAAGUCGAACGGAAAGGCCCUGCUUUUGUGGGGUGCUCGAGUGGCGAACGGGUGAGUAACACGUGAGUAACCUGCCCUUGACUUUGGGAUAACUUCAGGAAACUGGGGCUAAUACCGGAUAGGAGCUCCUGCUGCAUGGUGGGGGUUGGAAAUUUUCGGCGGUUGGGGAUGGACUCGCGGCUUAUCAGCUUGUUGGUGGGGUAGUGGCUUACCAAGGCUUUGACGGGUAGCCGGCCUGAGAGGGUGACCGGCCACAUUGGGACUGAGAUACGGCCCAGACUCCUACGGGAGGCAGCAGUGGGGAAUAUUGCACAAUGGGCGGAAGCCUGAUGCAGCAACGCCGCGUGCGGGAUGACGGCCUUCGGGUUGUAAACCGCUUGCGCCUGUGACGAAGCGUGAGUGACGGUAAUGGGUAAAGAAGCACCGGCUAACUACGUG